GAUGAACGCUGGCGGCGUGCCUAAUACAUGCAAGUCGAGCGAACAGAUGAGGAGCUUGCUCCUCUGACGUUAGCGGCGGACGGUGAGUAACACGUGGAUAACCUACCUAUAAGACUGGGAUAACUUCGGGAAACCGGAGCUAAUACCGGAUAAUAUAUUGAACCGCCUGGUUCAAUAGUGAAAGACGGUUUUGCUGUCACUUAUAGAUGGAUCCGCGCCGCAUUAGCUAGUUGGUAAGGUAACGGCUUACCAAGGCGACGAUGCGUAGCCGACCUGAGAGGGUGAUCGGCCACACUGGAACUGAGACACGGUCCAGACUCCUACGGGAGGCAGCAGUAGGGAAUCUUCCGCAAUGGGCGAAAGCCUGACGGAGCAACGCCGCGUGAGUGAUGAAGGUCUUCGGAUCGUAAAACUCUGUUAUUAGGGAAGAACAAAUGUGUAAGUAACUAUGCACGUCUUGACGGUACCUAAUCAGAAAGCCACGGCUAACUACGUG
RNAcentral lists this ribosomal RNA (496 nucleotides) under uncultured bacterium. RNAcentral's name for it is "partial 16S ribosomal RNA". It matches the Rfam family "Bacterial small subunit ribosomal RNA", at positions 28 to 507 of the family's 1533-position model. The record is from RNAcentral.